Molecule: long non-coding RNA, 465 nt
Filed under: Androctonus crassicauda
Lineage: Eukaryota; Metazoa; Arthropoda; Arachnida; Scorpiones; Buthidae
Source: RNAcentral
GUGGCCUGAAGAGGGUGGAUAAGCCACCGAGGACAUUCACUAUAAUAAAGUUGAUGUAUUUUUGCAACUGCCGAUUGGUGCUCUUGCUGAUUUAUUUUUACAUAACAAACUUCUUACAUUUAAACAUUUUUACAGGAAACAUUUUUAAUCUUCACAUUAGCUGCAUGGCAUGCAGACUGAUAAAUAUUUAUGCUGUGCAAAUGAUAUUUGCUACUAAGAGGGCUGAAAAUGGUUCAGGGGGAGUUUGUGCUUGGAUGGAUAUUUGAAAAUGGUUCUAUCAGUAAAUUAUUUUAUUCUGCUAAGAGCUUUAUUGUGUGUAAUAUGAUGCUAAAUAUAGUUUAUUACAAUAGCAUUUUUAUUAUAGUUUUUUGAAUUAUUAUAAAUUUUUACCAUAUUAUAUAUUCACUGUGUUAUACGAGAUGUGAUCAAAAAAUACAGAGGCUAUCAUUAUACAAACUUUAUUUU